Hordeum vulgare subsp. vulgare (domesticated barley) is the source of this 125-nucleotide non-coding RNA. Lineage: Eukaryota; Viridiplantae; Streptophyta; Magnoliopsida; Poales; Poaceae. The record is from Rfam.
UUGGUACUUCCUCCGUCCGGAAUUAUUUGUCAUAGAAAUAGAUGCAUCUAGACAUAUUUUAGUUUUGAAUACAUUUAUUUCUUUUUAUUUUGGUGACAAAUAAUUCCGGAUAAAGGGGGUACAUA